Molecule: transfer RNA, 72 nt
Filed under: Schizosaccharomyces japonicus
Lineage: Eukaryota; Fungi; Ascomycota; Schizosaccharomycetes; Schizosaccharomycetales; Schizosaccharomycetaceae
Description: tRNA-Arg
Rfam family: tRNA
About the family: Transfer RNA (tRNA) molecules are approximately 80 nucleotides in length. Their secondary structure includes four short double-helical elements and three loops (D, anti-codon, and T loops).
Source: RNAcentral
AUCUAUAUAGCUUAAUGGUUAAAGCAUAUUAUUUCUAAUGAUAUUAUCUAAGUUCAAUCCUUAGUAUAGAUU